This 253-nucleotide ribosomal RNA is filed under the name uncultured bacterium. Its description in RNAcentral is "partial 16S ribosomal RNA". It matches the Rfam family "Bacterial small subunit ribosomal RNA", at positions 524 to 776 of the family's 1533-position model. The record is from RNAcentral.
UACGUAGGGUGCGAGCGUUAAUCGGAAUUACUGGGCGUAAAGCGUGCGCAGGCGGUUUGUUAAGUCCGCUGUGAAAGCCCCGGGCUCAACCUGGGAAUGGCGGUGGAAACUGGCGAGCUAGAGUGUAGCAGAGGGGGGUGGAAUUCCACGUGUAGCAGUGAAAUGUGUAGAGAUCGGGAGGAACACCGGUGGCGAAGGCGGGUCUCUGGGCCGAUACUGACACUGAGGAGCGAAAGCGUGGGGAGCGAACAGG